Molecule: unclassified non-coding RNA, 517 nt
Filed under: Hevea brasiliensis (rubber tree)
Lineage: Eukaryota; Viridiplantae; Streptophyta; Magnoliopsida; Malpighiales; Euphorbiaceae
Source: RNAcentral
UGGCGAAACUCGGGAUCAUCUGCACACACUGCUAUUAUCUUGUCAUCUUUCUCACCCUGAUCAAUCAUAGGCAUCAAUCCAAUUGCACGAGCACGAAGAAAGGUACUUGGUAACACAGGUUCCUGCAUCAGUACCAAGACGUCCAUUGGAUCACUGUCUUCGCAAAGGGUUCUUGGAAUGAAACCAUAGUUGUGUGGAUAAACAACUGAUGAGUACAGUAUUCGGUCAACCUUUAUAAGGCCACUUGCCUUGUCAAGCUCAUACUUGACUUUGCUGCCUUUGCCUAUUUCAACCACACAGUUGAAAACUGAAGGUGCACCUGGCCCAAUCUCUAGGUCAUGCCAUGGAUGAGCAGCAAUAGAUUUUCGUGACAUGGAGGAAAGAAUUCUUUCAUUAAGCGCAACACGGGAGGUUCCUGAGUUUCUUCCAAUCGCUUUUCCACUAUUUUCAGCCAUAUUUAAAGAGAGAGAUGAUGGGCGAAGGAGAAGGACACUGUGCUCACAGUAUUUUGUUAGGG